AAUGAUCCCUCCGCAGUUCACCUAA
RNAcentral lists this ribosomal RNA (25 nucleotides) under fungal sp. 2Id. Its description in RNAcentral is "partial 18S ribosomal RNA". The record is from RNAcentral. Lineage: Eukaryota; Fungi.